GGGAUUACAGGUGUGAGUGAUCAUGCUGGGCCCCAUUUAAAAAAAUGUUUUGAAAAUUAUAUUUUGAUGCCCUUUCCUAGUAGAACACAUCUCCUGGAGGCCCAGGAAGGGAAGGUGGAGACUGGGAUCAUUGGGAUCUUUGAGAGAUUUUUGGUCUCAUGGCACAUGGUGGUGCCUCAGAUGCAAGCACAGCAACCUCUGAGCCCUGCUCCAAGUUUGUAUAGGUCAGUCCCCACUUCCAGGUGCCAAAUUCUGUCACAGUGAUCUUUUGCUGUGCAAUAAGCCAUCUUGAAAACACUGGCAUAAAAUAAUGAUUAUUUAUUACCAAUUUUUAAAAAAGAGAGAAUCCUGGCUUCUGUGGGUCAGGACUUUGGGCAAGGCACAACAAGAAAGGCUUUUCUACUUCAUGAUGUCUAGGGUCUCAGCCAGAAGCCCCAGAGCUGAGGGUGACUCUAGUAUAUGAGGCGGUGGCUGGAGGAUCCCCUUCUAAGGUGUUCUUUUUAGUCCUGUGUCUGACACAUUGGCAGGGAUGGCUGGAAGGCUGGGCUCAGCUGGGACGGUUGCUCAGAGCACCUCUCUGCGGCCACUUCAGCAUGGCAGCCUCCAUGGGUAGUGAGACUUCUGAAAUGACAGGUCAGUGCCUUGUGAGUAAGGUAGGAGCUGCAUGGCUUUUUGUGACCCAGCCUGAAAAGUCACAUAGUGUCAUGUCUGCUGUGUCUAAGCAGUCAGAAGCCUGCCCACUCUCAAAGGGAGGGGACCCAGGCUCCACUUCUCAGUGGGAGGAAUGUCAAAGAACCUGUGGUCAUGUUAAAGUUGCUGCUGCUGCUUCUACAAUUUCCAUCCUCUUUGGUCCUUUCUGAUGGCUCCUAAUAACCCACAUCUCAUCAUAAACCACAAGACUUUGCCAGAAGCCAAGGAAAGAGCAGCCCUCCAAAUUGCACCUUUGUUCCCAGUUCCCACCAGAGUCCCUGGAGAUUUUAUCCAUUCGUGAUAUCUUCUUUCUCUUGGUUCUUCCAGUCUUAGGGGUGGAGCUUCCAGUAAUGUAUUUGUGUUUCCAGAGAGCUCAAAACACAGCAGAAAAUAUGCCUGUUGGCAUAGGGAAUGUUCAUGCUACAUUUGGUAAGUGAAGAAAGCAAAGGAAAAAUCAAGUGGAAGAAUAUAGAUCAAGGUGCUAAGUGGUUAUCUCUGAAUGGAAGAUUUAGAGAGCUAUUUUCUCGAGACAUACUCGGCUUUUAUGAAGAUUUUGAAAAUCUAGGGCAGUGAUUUUCCUUAGAGGGGAGCAAGAAGGUCACCAGGAAAGUCUGCUGUCCUCCCGUGGAUCCUCAUUUUUCUAGAGAUCCUGGCGUGUUCCAAAAAGAGAAUAUUUGCUAAUUUGACAAAAUGCUGGAAGAUAUAGAAAUUUUUUUUUUUUUUUUUUUUUUAGACAGUGUCUCACUCUGUCGCCCAGGCUGGAGUGCAGUGAUGCGAUCUUGGCUCACUGUACCCUCUGCCUCCCGAGUUCAAGAGAUUCUCGUGCCUCAGCCUCCUAGUAGCUGGGACUACAGGUGCCCACCAUCACGCCUGGCUAAUUUUUGUAUUUUUUGGUAGAGAUGGGGUUUCAGCAUGUUGGCCAGGCUGGUGUCAGAUUCCUGGCCCCAAGUGAUCUACCCACCUCAGCCUUCCAAAGUUCUGGGAUUAUAGUCAUGAGCCACUGUGCUUGGCCUGGAAGAGAUAGAAAUUCUUUUAGCAAUGUAAUACCAAGAGCUGGGUUAAGAGGAGCCCCAUCUAGCAGUAAUGCGGUUGGAAGGUGGUGUUGGUGAACUCCCUGUGAGAGGGGAAGCCAGCUGGACUUCCUGGGUCGAUUGGAGACUUGGAGAACUUUUCUGUCUUACAAGAGUUUGUAAAAUGCACCAAUCAGUGCUCUGUAAAAACACACCAAUCUGCGCUCUGUAGCUAGCUAGAGGUUUGUAAAAUGGACCAAUCAGCACCCUGUAAAAUGGACCAAUCAACACCCUGUAAAAUGGACCAAUCAGCACUCUGUAAAAUGGACCAAUCAGUGGGACAUGGGUGGGGACAAAUAAGGGAAUAAGAGCUGGCCUCCCCCAGCCAGGAACGGCAACCCGCUUGGGUCGUCUUGCUUUGUUCUUUCCCUCUUAACAAUAAAUCCUGCUGCUGUUCACUCUGGGUCCGUGCCACCUUUAAGAGCUAUAAUACUCACCGCGAAGGUCCGCGAUUUCAUUCUUGACGUCAGUGAGACCACGAACCCACCAGAAGGAACCAACUCGGACACACCUACAGAUGGGAAGCCCCUCCCUUUGGUCCACACAGACCCAGAAGGACUGAGAAAUGGAGAACCCUUGGGGUAGGGAAGGAGGUCAAGGGUCCUUGAAGAGGAGAAGAGAGAGGGGGUCUGAAAGGGAGAAGUCAUGGUGGCUUGUGACACAGAACUGAGAGCUUUCAGGGGAAGGACCUUGACAGUUUCAGAAGAGUUGAAUGACGGAACUUUCUAGACCCCCACACCCUCCAAACCCCUGGGCACUAGAUUGGAGACUAUGACUAAAAUCCAAAAGAAAGGACUCUUUUUGUUUAUUUUUUUUACAUUCCAGGUAGGGCUUGCCUAGCUAAAAAUGAGAGCAUUUAUUACUGACCCACCAUCUCUUUCUUGGGAAUAGGGUGGUAGGUUAUAGAAAACAAGAUUUAUUUUUCUUCCAG
This 2691-nucleotide long non-coding RNA is filed under the name Homo sapiens (human). Its description in RNAcentral is "HSALNT0234484". Lineage: Eukaryota; Metazoa; Chordata; Mammalia; Primates; Hominidae. The record is from RNAcentral.